UCAAAAAGACAUCUCAGUUCAGAUUGCAGGCUGCAACUCGCCUGCAUGAAGUCGGAAUUGCUAGUAAUCGUAGGUCAGCAUACUACGGUGAAUACGUUCCCGGGCCUUGUACACACCGCCCGUCAAACCAUGAGAGUUGGCAACACCCGAAGUCGGUAGUCUAACCGCAAGGAGGACGCCGCCGAAGGUGGGGUUGAUGAUUAGGGUUAAGUCGUAACAAGGUACC
This 226-nucleotide ribosomal RNA is filed under the name uncultured bacterium. RNAcentral describes it as "partial 16S ribosomal RNA". It matches the Rfam family "Bacterial small subunit ribosomal RNA", at positions 1275 to 1500 of the family's 1533-position model. The record is from RNAcentral.